This 1051-nucleotide long non-coding RNA is filed under the name Callithrix jacchus (white-tufted-ear marmoset). RNAcentral's name for it is "lncRNA (ENSCJAG00000078834.1)". The record is from RNAcentral. Lineage: Eukaryota; Metazoa; Chordata; Mammalia; Primates; Cebidae.
UGUGUAUAGGAUGGGACCACAUGGUUAUGUGACCCUGAUGAAUGCGUAAUGGAGGGAGAGGGGCAACCCUACAACAGAAAGGUUGUGCUGAGCAGAUAAAACAGUAGACACUGAACAAAAAUUAUAGACUUCUUUCCUCUAAGGAGUUUACUUAUAAUAAUUUUAUCCUUUUCUCUCUAGUUUUGAAUUUAGGAAGGGCAAGGCCAUCUUGACCCAGAAAAGCCCUUUAUGCAUUUACCUGAAAGAGGAUCACUUCCAUCUUAUCCUACAAUCAGGCAGCAAGUAUUUACUGAGUAAUGAUUGCCUCCCAGCAGCAUGCAAUACUAGCAGCUGUUGGAAGAGGAGAACAGAAACAUAGAUAACUGAUGGAGAUGUUUCAUUUGAAUAAAGCAACGAGCCUAAAUAGAUAACUUUAUUGGCUUACUGAAUUGUAGACCAACCCUGUUUAUAUUGCAGCUGGGGCCAUCAGUUGGCUUAAUAAUAUUUAACUACCUUAUAUACUAUUUGAAAUAAAUGGGGGUGGAAAUAAAUAGAUAAAUGAUUAAGUAUCUAAAUACAAUGUGUCAGUGAUGUGUCAGUGAGAUAUCAAACUGGUUUAAGUGAAAGAAGCCAUCACAGAGACAGCAAUUUAUUGCUUACUAAGUGAGGGAGAACUUUGCUUGUGAACCUGCUCACUCUAAGCAAAGCAGAGACCUAAUUGUGUAGGGGUUCAAGAAUCCUGGAGUUGAGGGAUCAGCAGAAUUUCAAAAGCAAGAGUGUUUAGAUAUUGGUUGACCUUUAGCUGUGAAAGUGUGGUUCCUGAAAAAUCAUUGUGACUCACAGGCUGAUUUUCAGAAAUACUGGGUUGUAACAUAUUGGUUGACUUUUAGAAACAUGGUGAACCAUGCAAAGUUGUUACAGAUCAAUUAGGGUGGUUUUAAAGUUCGUUCUGGGCAUUACUUGCUGCUGUGGCUGAAGAAAAAUCACUGAUUUCCUAUAAAGUAAGGAACUUCUGUUGUCACUUGAAACCAUUGUUAUCAUCCUCCAUGUCUGAAAUUUAAAACUCUUGUCU